CCUACGGGGGGCAGCAGUGGGGAAUAUUGCACAAUGGGCGCAAGCCUGAUGCAGCCAUGCCGCGUGUGUGAAGAAGGCCUUCGGGUUGUAAAGCACUUUCAGCGGGGAGGAAGGCGUUAAGGUUAAUAACCUUGGCGAUUGACGUUACCCGCAGAAGAAGCACCGGCUAACUCCGUGCCAGCAGCCGCGGUAAUACGGAGGGUGCAAGCGUUAAUCGGAAUUACUGGGCGUAAAGCGCACGCAGGCGGUCGGUCAAGUCGGAUGUGAAAUCCCCGGGCUCAACCUGGGAACUGCAUUCGAAACUGGCAGGCUAGAGUCUUGUAGAGGGGGGUAGAAUUCCAGGUGUAGCGGUGAAAUGCGUAGAGAUCUGGAGGAAUACCGGUGGCGAAGGCGGCCCCCUGGACAAAGACUGACGCUCAGGUGCGAAAGCGUGGGGAGCAAACAGGAUUAGAUACCCGGGUAGUC
Molecule: ribosomal RNA, 465 nt
Filed under: uncultured Klebsiella sp.
Lineage: Bacteria; Pseudomonadati; Pseudomonadota; Gammaproteobacteria; Enterobacterales; Enterobacteriaceae
Description: bacterial SSU rRNA
Rfam family: Bacterial small subunit ribosomal RNA
Source: RNAcentral